GAACUCUCAAGGCUCCUUUCCCUUAACGGGGUGAGGGUGCUUUGGAUCGUGGGCGCUUGCCGGCCUGGUCGGCUCGCCUUAAAUUGAAUGUGGCGGCCUUCUCUGAAGCCUUGUGCGGGUUUGACCCGGAGUGAUAGAAGUCUUUCGAGAUCUCUGGGGAGUCCACCUGACGGUGGGCGCCUGCUGGGGUGGGAGCGGUUGCCUAGUUAGACUCGUCUGACGU
Molecule: unclassified non-coding RNA, 223 nt
Filed under: uncultured Agaricomycetes
Lineage: Eukaryota; Fungi; Basidiomycota; Agaricomycetes
Description: sequence contains ITS2
Source: RNAcentral